Molecule: long non-coding RNA, 1881 nt
Organism: Oncorhynchus mykiss (rainbow trout)
Lineage: Eukaryota; Metazoa; Chordata; Actinopteri; Salmoniformes; Salmonidae
Source: Ensembl
UCCACCCUCGCCGCCGACCAUGGCCUAGUAGUCCUCACCCAGAACCCCACUGGACUGAGGAGCAGAUCGGGACUGAGGGGCAGCUCGGGACUGAGGCAGCUCGGGACUGAGGGGAAGCUCAGGAGUGAGAGGAAGCAGCUCAGGAGUGAGAGGAAGCUCAGGCAGGUUGAUGAAUCUACCUGGCUGGCUGGUGGUUUCGGCAGAUCCUGGCUGACUGGCAGAUCCUGGCUGACUGGCAGAUCUGGAAGAGUCUGGUCGACUGGCAGAUCUGGAAGAGUCUGGUCGACUGGCAGAUCUGGAAGAGUCUGGUCGACUGGCAGAUCUGGAAGAGUCUGGUCGACUGGCAGAUCUGGAAGAGUCUGGUCGACUGGCAGAUCUGGAAGAGUCUGGUCGACUGGCAGAUCUGGAAGAGUCUGGUCGACUGGCAGAUCUGGAAGAGUCUGGUCGACUGGCAGAUCUGGAAGAGUCUGGUCGACUGGCAGAUCUGGAAGAGUCUGGUCGACUGGCAGAUCUGGAAGAGUCUGGUCGACUGGCAGAUCUGGAAGAGUCUGGUCGACUGGCAGAUCUGGAAGAGUCUGGUCGACUGGCGGAUCUGGAAGAGUCUGGUCGACUGGCGGAUCUGGAAGAGUCUGGUCGACUGGCGGAUCUGGAAGAGUCUGGUCGACUGGCGGAUCUGGAAGAGUCUGGUCGACUGGCGGAUCUGGAAGAGUCUGGUCGACUGGCGGAUCUGGAAGAGUCUGGUCGACUGGCGGAUCUGGGAGAGUCUGGUCGACUGGCGGAUCUGGGAGAGUCUGGUCGACUGGCGGAUCUGGGAGAGUCUGGUCGACUGGCGGAUCUGGGAGAGUCUGGUCGACUGGCGGAUCUGGGAGAGUCUGGUCGACUGGCAGAUCUGGGAGAGUCUGGUCGACUGGCAGAUCUGGGAGAGUCUGGUCGACUGGCAGAUCUGGGAGAGUCUGGUCGACUGGCAGAUCUGGGAGAGUCUGGUCGACUGGCAGAUCUGGAAGAGUCUGGUCGACUGGCAGAUCUGGAAGAGUCUGGUCGACUGGCAGAUCUGGAAGAGUCUGGUCGACUGGCAGAUCUGGAAGAGUCUGGUCGACUGGCAGCUCUGGCUGCUCCAUGCUGACUGGCUGCUCCAUGAUGACUGGCAGCUCUGGCUGCUCCAUGCUGACUGGCUGCUCCAUGCUGACUGGCAGCUCUGGCUGCUCCAUGCUGACUGGCUGCUCUGGCUGCACCAUGCUGAUUGGCUGCUCCAUGCUGACUGGCUGCUCCAUGCUGACUGGCGGCCCUGGCUGCUCCAUGCUGACUGGCGGCCCUGGCUGCUCCAUGCAGACUGGCAGCUCUGGCGGCUCCUUGCAGACUGGCAGCUCUGGCGGCUCCUUGCAGACUGGCAGCUCUGGCGGCUCCUUGCAGACUGGCAGCUCUGGCGGCUCCUUGCAGACUGGCAGCUUUGGCGGCAUCCUGCAGACAGGCAGCUCUGGCGGCUCCUUGCAGACUGGCAGCUCCUUGCAGACUGGCAGCUCUAUGCAGACUGGCAGCUCCUUGCAGACUGGCAGCUCUAUGCUAACUGGCAGCUCUAUGCUAACUGGCAGCUCUAUGCUAACUGGCAGCUCUAUGCUAACUGGCAGUUCUGAACAGGCGGGAGACUCCGGCAGCGCUGUAGAGAAGGAAGGCUCUAACAGCGCUAAACAGGCGGGAGACUCCGACAGCGCUGGAGAGGAGGAGGGCUCCGACAGCGCUGGAGAGGCGAGGCACACUAUAGGCCUGAUGCGUGGUGCUGGCACUGGUGGUACUGGGCCGAGGACACGCACAGGAAGCCUUGUGCGGGGAGCUGCUACCGGAGGGCUGGGGUGUGGAGGUGGCACAGGAUGGGUUAGACCGUGA